Molecule: ribosomal RNA, 274 nt
Filed under: uncultured bacterium
Lineage: Bacteria
Description: partial 16S ribosomal RNA
Rfam family: Bacterial small subunit ribosomal RNA
Source: RNAcentral
AUACGAAGGGGGCUAGCGUUGUUCGGAAUUACUGGGCGUAAAGCGCGCGUAGGCGGAUUGGUCAGUUAGGGGUGAAAUCCCAGGGCUUAACCCUGGAACUGCCUCUAAUACUGCCAGUCUUGAGUUCGGGAGAGGUGAGUGGAAUUCCUAGUGUAGAGGUGAAAUUCGUAGAUAUUAGGAAGAACACCAGUGGCGAAGGCGGCUCACUGGCCCGAUACUGACGCUGAGGCGCGAAAGCGUGGGGAGCAAACAGGAUUAGAUAGCCGAGUAGUCC